AGAUAUUGAUUACUUGCUAAACAUUGAUGCGCAUCAAGCUGUAACUGCGCUAUACUCUCUCUAGAAGACCGACCUUUGCGAAAACCAAACUGAUUAUUAGGCAAAAGACAAUUUUGUUCUAUAAAGAACUCGAGACGUUGUUUUAGAAGCUGCUCAAAUAUCUUCCCAACACAAGACGUGAGAGCUAUAGGUCUAUAAGAGUCAGCAUUUAAAACUGCUUCUGUACACCUCUGAUUCCACCAAGGCGACCAAGGAUAUUUAAAAGAUUUUUGUGAACAAGAACUAGUAGCAUUAUUACUAUUAGAACUUUUGGAAAACAGACAGCUAGGGAUUGACUGCUUGGCAGCAGAAAGUAAAAUAUUACAAAAGGAAUUAAAAGCAUCUAUUGAAGAUAAAGUGUCAAAUUUAACAUCAUCCAAAUAAGAAACAACUAAGUUACUAUACAUAUUCCAAUUCACCUGCUUAUAAUUAGGGUGAGUGGGCAAAUGUAGAUUAUUACAUAAUGUGUUUUGCAAACUAAUACAUUCACUACUUACUGCCAUUUUUAUUAUUACAGGGAGAUGAUAACUACUGCCCAGAGGACUGUCAAUAACUGACCAGUCACAUAAAAGAGCCAAAGAUGGAGUUACCAAAGUCAAGUCAAGAGCAUUAGGACGCCAAGAUGGAGAUCCUAUUGUGGUAGCUUGACCAUUAUUCAGAAUAACAAGACCAUUCUCAUCUAUAACCUCUAAAACAUCUUUACCUCGAGGCAAUGUAUCAACACAUCCCCACAACAUGUGAUGAGCAUUGAAAUCACCUGCAAAUAUCAUUGGCUCUGCAAUGGACUUAAUUAAACUGUUUAAAUUGUUUUUAUUAAAUGGAGGAUUUGAAUUGGAAGGACUGUAAAAACUCACAAUACUCAGUUCUUUGUUAUUAAUUUUAAUUUUAAUGCAAACAUUUUGUAGAGCACUAUCAUAAUAUGUAUUUAUGUUAGAAAAUGUGAUAUUAUUAUGAAUAAAAAUUGCUACACCAUUGUGUUUAUUACCACAA
Long non-coding RNA from Leptidea sinapis, 1029 nucleotides. RefSeq lists it as uncharacterized. The record is from RefSeq and is a predicted model, not a curated record. The transcript has 2 exons. Lineage: Eukaryota; Metazoa; Arthropoda; Insecta; Lepidoptera; Pieridae.